Molecule: long non-coding RNA, 697 nt
Organism: Sebastes umbrosus (honeycomb rockfish)
Lineage: Eukaryota; Metazoa; Chordata; Actinopteri; Perciformes; Sebastidae
Exons: 3
Source: RefSeq, a predicted model, not a curated record
GCAAAGCGAUCCCUCACAAUAAAAAAAUAAAUCUUUUUAAUAUUUUCCAAGGCUACAGGUUCAUUAAAUGUUUUGAUUUGUAAGUAACUAGCUUGCCAUCACCUCUUUGAAAUAUAUACAUGAAUAUAUACCAUAUUUAUAUUUGGAGGUAUGUUAUUUAAUAAUUUUGAGAUAUAUGGAGAAUAAUAUAACUGUCAAUUCAUCUGUAAUUUAACUGCUUUCCAUGUUUUUAUCUUCUUUAUUUUGUAGUAUUGUCGAAGAAGAUUUCCUCUGUAGAGUUGAACAAUGAAAGGACUACAAACUUUUAUCACAGGGGACAUUUUGUUCUUGUCUCACAGCUGUAACUAACAAAGGCUGCAACCCGUUCAGUUGUUUCAUUUCCAGGGCUGUGACACUGUGCAUGCUGUGUUGACUGGUAAAGCUAACGGGGCCAUGUUGAUGAGAUUGCCUACACCUGCAGUGGCAAGUCAGGUUAUCUGCUGUGAGGAAGGAAGGACAACAGAGGACAGAACAGCUGGAAGGUGACUGGAGAACCAACCAACAGUCCGUCCGUCUGCUACCUGAUCCGUCCAUCCCCUCUGGGCGGGUUCAGUUCAGACUUGGUGUCGGGGCUGGCGGAGCUCCAGCCGGUGAGACGACAGCGCUGCAUGACGGGACAGACGCUGGGUCCCAUCGAGCAGACGUCUGAGGCCGACCA